GUCAGAUUAGCUAGUUGGUGGGGUAAAGGCCCACCAAGGCGACGAUCUGUAGCGGGUCUGAGAGGAUGAUCCGCCACACUGGGACUGAGACACGGCCCAGACUCCUACGGGAGGCAGCAGUGGGGAAUUUUGGACAAUGGGCGCAAGCCUGAUCCAGCCAUGCCGCGUGCGGGACGAAGGCCUUCGGGCUGUAAACCGCUUUCAGCCGGAAAGAAAUUGCUGUUUUUAAUAGAGAUAGUGGAUGACGGUACCGGAAGAAGAAGCACCGGCUAACUACGUGCCAGCAGCCGCGGUAAUACGUAGGGUGCGGGCGUUAAUCGGAAUUACUGGGCGUAAAGGGUGCGCAGGCGGUUAUGUAAGUCAGAUGUGAAAUCCCCGGGCUUAACCUGGGAAUUGCGUUUGAAACUACAAGGCUAG
This 417-nucleotide ribosomal RNA is filed under the name uncultured beta proteobacterium. RNAcentral describes it as "bacterial SSU rRNA". It matches the Rfam family "Bacterial small subunit ribosomal RNA", at positions 235 to 644 of the family's 1533-position model. The record is from RNAcentral. Lineage: Bacteria; Pseudomonadati; Pseudomonadota; Betaproteobacteria.